Molecule: ribosomal RNA, 2656 nt
Filed under: Escherichia coli
Lineage: Bacteria; Pseudomonadati; Pseudomonadota; Gammaproteobacteria; Enterobacterales; Enterobacteriaceae
Description: bacterial LSU rRNA
Rfam family: Bacterial large subunit ribosomal RNA
Source: RNAcentral
ACUAUCAUUAACUGAAUCCAUAGGUUAAUGAGGCGAACCGGGGGAACUGAAACAUCUAAGUACCCCGAGGAAAAGAAAUCAACCGAGAUUCCCCCAGUAGCGGCGAGCGAACGGGGAGGAGCCCAGAGCCUGAAUCAGUGUGUGUGUUAGUGGAAGCGUCUGGAAAGGCGCGCGAUACAGGGUGACAGCCCCGUACACAAAAAUGCACAUACUGUGAGCUCGAUGAGUAGGGCGGGACACGUGGUAUCCUGUCUGAAUAUGGGGGGACCAUCCUCCAAGGCUAAAUACUCCUGACUGACCGAUAGUGAACCAGUACCGUGAGGGAAAGGCGAAAAGAACCCCGGCGAGGGGAGUGAAAAAGAACCUGAAACCGUGUACGUACAAGCAGUGGGAGCCUCUUAAUGGGGUGACUGCGUACCUUUUGUAUAAUGGGUCAGCGACUUAUAUUCUGUAGCAAGGUUAACCGAAUAGGGGAGCCGAAGGGAAACCGAGUCUUAACUGGGCGUUAAGUUGCAGGGUAUAGACCCGAAACCCGGUGAUCUAGCCAUGGGCAGGUUGAAGGUUGGGUAACACUAACUGGAGGACCGAACCGACUAAUGUUGAAAAAUUAGCGGAUGACUUGUGGCUGGGGGUGAAAGGCCAAUCAAACCGGGAGAUAGCUGGUUCUCCCCGAAAGCUAUUUAGGUAGCGCCUCGUGAAUUCAUCUCCGGGGGUAGAGCACUGUUUCGGCAAGGGGGUCAUCCCGACUUACCAACCCGAUGCAAACUGCGAAUACCGGAGAAUGUUAUCACGGGAGACACACGGCGGGUGCUAACGUCCGUCGUGAAGAGGGAAACAACCCAGACCGCCAGCUAAGGUCCCAAAGUCAUGGUUAAGUGGGAAACGAUGUGGGAAGGCCCAGACAGCCAGGAUGUUGGCUUAGAAGCAGCCAUCAUUUAAAGAAAGCGUAAUAGCUCACUGGUCGAGUCGGCCUGCGCGGAAGAUGUAACGGGGCUAAACCAUGCACCGAAGCUGCGGCAGCGACGCUUAUGCGUUGUUGGGUAGGGGAGCGUUCUGUAAGCCUGUGAAGGUGGCCUGUGAGGGUUGCUGGAGGUAUCAGAAGUGCGAAUGCUGACAUAAGUAACGAUAAAGCGGGUGAAAAGCCCGCUCGCCGGAAGACCAAGGGUUCCUGUCCAACGUUAAUCGGGGCAGGGUGAGUCGACCCCUAAGGCGAGGCCGAAAGGCGUAGUCGAUGGGAAACAGGUUAAUAUUCCUGUACUUGGUGUUACUGCGAAGGGGGGACGGAGAAGGCUAUGUUGGCCGGGCGACGGUUGUCCCGGUUUAAGCGUGUAGGCUGGUUUUCCAGGCAAAUCCGGAAAAUCAAGGCUGAGGCGUGAUGACGAGGCACUACGGUGCUGAAGCGACAAAUGCCCUGCUUCCAGGAAAAGCCUCUAAGCAUCAGGUAACAUUAAAUCGUACCCCAAACCGACACAGGUGGUCAGGUAGAGAAUACCAAGGCGCUUGAGAGAACUCGGGUGAAGGAACUAGGCAAAAUGGUGCCGUAACUUCGGGAGAAGGCACGCUGAUAUGUAGGUGAAGCGACUUGCUCGUGGAGCUGAAAUCAGUCGAAGAUACCAGCUGGCUGCAACUGUUUAUUAAAAACACAGCACUGUGCAAACACGAAAGUGGACGUAUACGGUGUGACGCCUGCCCGGUGCCGGAAGGUUAAUUGAUGGGGUUAGCGGUAACGCGAAGCUCUUGAUCGAAGCCCCGGUAAACGGCGGCCGUAACUAUAACGGUCCUAAGGUAGCGAAAUUCCUUGUCGGGUAAGUUCCGACCUGCACGAAUGGCGUAAUGAUGGCCAGGCUGUCUCCACCCGAGACUCAGUGAAAUUGAACUCGCUGUGAAGAUGCAGUGUACCCGCGGCAAGACGGAAAGACCCCGUGAACCUUUACUAUAGCUUGACACUGAACAUUGAGCCUUGAUGUGUAGGAUAGGUGGGAGGCUUUGAAGUGUGGACGCCAGUCUGCAUGGAGCCGACCUUGAAAUACCACCCUUUAAUGUUUGAUGUUCUAACGUGGGCCCCUUACCGGGGUUGCGGACAGUGUCUGGUGGGUAGUUUGACUGGGGCGGUCUCCUCCUAAAGAGUAACGGAGGAGCACGAAGGUUGGCUAAUCCUGGUCGGACAUCAGGAGGUUAGUGCAAUGGCAUAAGCCAGCUUGACUGCGAGCGUGACGGCGCGAGCAGGUGCGAAAGCAGGUCAUAGUGAUCCGGUGGUUCUGAAUGGAAGGGCCAUCGCUCAACGGAUAAAAGGUACUCCGGGGAUAACAGGCUGAUACCGCCCAAGAGUUCAUAUCGACGGCGGUGUUUGGCACCUCGAUGUCGGCUCAUCACAUCCUGGGGCUGAAGUAGGUCCCAAGGGUAUGGCUGUUCGCCAUUUAAAGUGGUACGCGAGCUGGGUUUAGAACGUCGUGAGACAGUUCGGUCCCUAUCUGCCGUGGGCGCUGGAGAACUGAGGGGGGCUGCUCCUAGUACGAGAGGACCGGAGUGGACGCAUCACUGGUGUUCGGGUUGUCAUGCCAAUGGCACUGCCCGGUAGCUAAAUGCGGAAGAGAUAAGUGCUGAAAGCAUCUAAGCACGAAACUUGCCCCGAGAUGAGUUCUCCCUGACUCCUUGA